UAGGGAAUCUUCGGCAAUGGGGGCAACCCUGACCGAGCAACGCCGCGUGAGUGAAGAAGGUUUUCGUAUCGUAAAGCUCUGUUGUAAGAAAAGAACGUGUGUGAGAGUGGAAAGUUCACACAGUGACGGUAACUUACCAGAAAGGUACGGCUAACUACGUGCCAGCAGCCGCGGUAAUACGUAGGUCCCGAGCGUUGUCCGGAUUUAUUGGGCGUAAAGCGAGCGCAGGCGGUUUAAUAAGUCUGAAGUUAAAGGCAGUGGCUUAACCAUUGUUCGCUUUGGAAACUGUUCAGCUUGAGUGCAGAAGGGGAGAGUGGAGUUCCAUGUGUAGCGUUGAAAUGAGUAGAUGUAUGGAGGAACACCGGUGGUGAAAGCGGCUCUCUGGUCUGUAACUGACGCUGAGGCUCGAAAGCGGGGCGAGGAAACAGG
This 429-nucleotide ribosomal RNA is filed under the name bacterium. Its description in RNAcentral is "partial 16S ribosomal RNA". It matches the Rfam family "Bacterial small subunit ribosomal RNA", at positions 355 to 776 of the family's 1533-position model. The record is from RNAcentral.